Molecule: ribosomal RNA, 549 nt
Filed under: fungal sp.
Lineage: Eukaryota; Fungi
Description: eukaryotic LSU rRNA
Rfam family: 5.8S ribosomal RNA (bases 189-342)
Source: RNAcentral
AGGUGACUGCGGAGGGAUCAUUACACAAAUAUGAAGGCGGGCUGGAACCUCUCGGGGUUACAGCCUUGCUGAAUUAUUCACCCUUGUCUUUUGCGUACUUCUUGUUUCCUUGGUGGGUUCGCCCACCACUAGGACAAACAUAAACCUUUUGUAAUUGCAAUCAGCGUCAGUAACAAAUUAAUAAUUACAACUUUCAACAACGGAUCUCUUGGUUCUGGCAUCGAUGAAGAACGCAGCGAAAUGCGAUAAGUAGUGUGAAUUGCAGAAUUCAGUGAAUCAUCGAAUCUUUGAACGCACAUUGCGCCCUUUGGUAUUCCAAAGGGCAUGCCUGUUCGAGCGUCAUUUGUACCCUCAAGCUUUGCUUGGUGUUGGGCGUCUUGUCUCUAGCUUUGCUGGAGACUCGCCUUAAAGUAAUUGGCAGCCGGCCUACUGGUUUCGGAGCGCAGCACAAGUCGCACUCUCUAUCAGCAAAGGUCUAGCAUCCACUAAGCCUUUUUUUCAACUUUUGACCUCGGAUCAGGUAGGGAUACCCGCUGAACUUAAGCAUAU